RNAcentral lists this long non-coding RNA (323 nucleotides) under Solanum tuberosum (potato). RNAcentral describes it as "long non-coding RNA (STUB_LNC010192)". The record is from RNAcentral. Lineage: Eukaryota; Viridiplantae; Streptophyta; Magnoliopsida; Solanales; Solanaceae.
GGUGGGAAAAGAAGAAACAAGUGGGGGAAAAAAUUAUAUUCAAUUUUCUUAGUUUUAGUCUUUUUUUUUUUUAAAAAAUAAUUAUUAUUUUUAGUCUAAAUUUUGAUAUUCACGCUCCCUUAACGCAUGAAAUCAGGUGUUUGUGCCAAUUUAACAAUUAAGUUGCCACACAAGCUUAAUCAAUGGUCAGAAUGGCUUAAAAUAUUGAGUUUCAUUAAGUUUAAGGGUUCAAUUGACAACUGAUCAAGUAGAAGGGUCAAUAAUACAAACGCAUAUAAGUAUAAGGAUCCAUCAGACCAUUUAGCCAUUAUUUUUUUUUAAUA